CCCAAUUUAGUAUCAUCUGUGAAUUUGGUCAGUAGACUGGUCACCCCCUCUUCCAGGUCAUUGAUGAAUAGAUUGAACAGGAUGAGUCCCAAGACAGAGCCCUGGGGAACCCUGCUCAUCACCUGCCCCUUUCCCAAUGAUUCCUCACUAAAAGUUACCCUUGCUUUUGGUCCGUCAACUGUGCCCUAAUCCAUCAGACAUCAAACUUUUUAAAUAG
This is a long non-coding RNA of Varanus komodoensis (Komodo dragon), 217 nucleotides long. RefSeq lists it as uncharacterized. The transcript is spliced from 3 exons. The record is from RefSeq and is a predicted model, not a curated record. Lineage: Eukaryota; Metazoa; Chordata; Lepidosauria; Squamata; Varanidae.